GAUGCGAAAGCCUCUCCUGAGCACUUGCCAUCUGACGCCACGACUGUAAAUGCCGUGGCGGCCACACACACACACACAAACACACACAUCCACAUAAUACGGCUGUGGUUUCCGUCACCGCCGCGCCUUCUCCCCGUUUGCUGUAAGUGUCUCUCUCCCUCUCCUCUCAUUUUCUUUGUUGAACGACUCCGCCAUGAACGUUGAGGUGGUGCACUCCAUUGUGUGCAGCUGGGGCGACAGCGACGUGCUUCGGAGCCGCUGAUGCUAUGCGUUUGUGGAGGAGGGCGGGAUUAGGGGGCAGAGACAGCGGUGCGGGAAGCCCCAGCUUCGCCGCCCAAUCCCUCACUCUCCUUUCACAUCGACGCUUUCUCCCCGUGUCUGAAGCUACGAGUCGUGCAUGCGGGCGUCGUGACACUGAGAAUGGUGACCAAUGCAAGAGUUCUGGAGAUCCAAUACGUCGGCUAUGACACUUCAGAUCCACUGGUCACUCAGGAAGCGUAGCUUUCGAACCCCGUAACGAAUCUCCGCGUCCGUUUCCUGUGCCAUGGUGGUGGCAGGGCGCUGUUGCAACCACAGCGCCCGUACCGUCUAAAGCUGCUUGCACGGACGCCCAAGGCAAGCGCUACCGCAGCGCCAGCUCACGUAGCCCUUUGCUCCCCUCCGCCCUCGUCUUCCUACGAACUCGGUGCAAAAGGGCCAUCUGAGAUCUGUGGCCGCCAAGUGGCGGUGCAUCCCCCGAACCCUGCAAUUCCCCCCCCUCCCCCCCCCCCGACGCACUCCUCAUCGAAGUUUCCUACGCGCUCCAACAACAGCCCCUCGUGGCGGAGAGCCGCGUAGGCACUACUGUCAACGACUAUGUACAGUGCCCCACGAAUCUCGAAGGGCUUGUCCGCCGCUCAAAGACUUCUUCUCACGGCUCCCACAAGGCGGAGGUCGUUGAUCGGUGUACACAGACUUCUUCAGUUGCUGUGCACACCGACAGCAGCUGACGCUCUACCGUGUUUCGCUCUACGGCACUCUCCUCUGCUCACUCGUACACAUGCGCCGGGUUGCACUGGUACUGUGUGUGUCUGACUGCUCCCUUUUCCUCCCCCACAGACGCCAUUAAGGAAGAAGAAAGCAAAACAACCUCUCCCGCGACCUCAGUCCUCACAUCACAUUCUCGGUGAGUGAGUGCGCUUCACCGUCCAGCAGCAACCUUCCUUUUUCUUUCUCUCGCCUCCAACGCUGCGACCCUCGAUGCC
RNAcentral lists this unclassified non-coding RNA (1244 nucleotides) under Leishmania donovani. RNAcentral describes it as "gene:unknown". The record is from RNAcentral. Lineage: Eukaryota; Euglenozoa; Kinetoplastea; Trypanosomatida; Trypanosomatidae.